This 466-nucleotide ribosomal RNA is filed under the name uncultured bacterium. RNAcentral's name for it is "partial 16S ribosomal RNA". It matches the Rfam family "Bacterial small subunit ribosomal RNA", at positions 28 to 507 of the family's 1533-position model. The record is from RNAcentral.
GAUGAACGCUGGCGGCGUGCUUAACACAUGCAAGUCGAACGAUGAAGCCCAGCUUGCUGGGUGGAUUAGUGGCGAACGGGUGAGUAACACGUGAGUAACCUGCCCUUAACUCUGGGAUAAGCCUGGGAAACUGGGUCUAAUACCGGAUAGGAGCGUCCACCGCAUGGUGGGUGUUGGAAAGAUUUAUCGGUUUUGGAUGGACUCGCGGCCUAUCAGCUUGUUGGUGAGGUAAUGGCUCACCAAGGCGACGACGGGUAGCCGGCCUGAGAGGGUGACCGGCCACACUGGGACUGAGACACGGCCCAGACUCCUACGGGAGGCAGCAGUGGGGAAUAUUGCACAAUGGGCGAAAGCCUGAUGCAGCGACGCCGCGUGAGGGAUGACGGCCUUCGGGUUGUAAACCUCUUUCAGUAGGGAGGAAGCGAAAGUGACGGUACCUGCAGAAGAAGCACCGGCUAACUACGUG